UACGUAGGGAGCGAGCGUUAUCCGGAUUUAUUGGGUGUAAAGGGUGCGUAGACGGGCAUGCAAGUUGGUUGUGAAAUCCCUCGGCUUAACUGAGGAACUGCAACCAAAACUGUGUGUCUUGAGUACAGGAGAGGUAAGUGGAAUUCCUAGUGUAGCGGUGAAAUGCGUAGAUAUUAGGAGGAACACCAGUGGCGAAGGCGACUUACUGGACUGAAACUGACGUUGAGGCACGAAAGUGUGGGGAGCAA
This 248-nucleotide ribosomal RNA is filed under the name uncultured Oscillospiraceae bacterium. RNAcentral describes it as "partial 16S ribosomal RNA". It matches the Rfam family "Bacterial small subunit ribosomal RNA", at positions 524 to 771 of the family's 1533-position model. The record is from RNAcentral. Lineage: Bacteria; Bacillati; Bacillota; Clostridia; Eubacteriales; Oscillospiraceae.